AACAUGAUUGAAUAGAGAAAGCAUAAGAAACUGAAAAAUAAAAUAAAUAAAUCUGUAUAAUACUAUAGAUAAGAUAGUUAACAGGCCAAAAGUCCACAAAAUAAAUAAACGGAUUCCUUUCAUUUUGGUUAAUAAACUUAUAUAAUCACAACAAGCUUGGAUAUAAAACAUGAUUCUGAAGAGUUGUACGAUUAAUAAUGUCUUGUAAAUUCACGAAAUUAUUUCUAUAUUUUGCAAAUGAUCAAGCAGAGCAAAUUCAGAAGUAUAAUAAUCUCUCAUCCAACAUAAAUACUGUAAAUUAAAAAUAUUUAAUAUUAAAAAAAGUACAACCCUUUUAAAUUUUUUUGAUAAUGGAUUU
RNAcentral lists this long non-coding RNA (358 nucleotides) under Brassica napus (rape). RNAcentral describes it as "long non-coding RNA (BNAP_LNC008299)". The record is from RNAcentral. Lineage: Eukaryota; Viridiplantae; Streptophyta; Magnoliopsida; Brassicales; Brassicaceae.